GUCUUCUCAUUGAGCUCCGUUCUGUCAACUGGUGGCAGAUAUGGAUUCGCACGAGAAGGAGAGAGAAUUCACAGAACUAGCGCUUAACUAACCUUCUGUUUCUACAGAGGUUUAUUUGUCUGUUGUGUGAUACAUUC
Molecule: small nucleolar RNA, 137 nt
Organism: Cricetulus griseus (Chinese hamster)
Lineage: Eukaryota; Metazoa; Chordata; Mammalia; Rodentia; Cricetidae
Gene: SNORA75
Rfam family: Small nucleolar RNA SNORA75
About the family: U23 belongs to the H/ACA class of snoRNAs. snoRNAs bind a number of proteins (including dyskerin, Gar1p and Nop10p in the case of the H/ACA class) to form snoRNP complexes. This class are thought to guide the sites of modification of uridines to pseudouridines by forming direct base pairing interactions with substrate RNAs.
Source: Ensembl